GCGAGCGUGGCCAAGUGGUUAAGGCAAUGGAUUGUGGUUCCAUCAUUCGCGGGUUCAAUUCCCGUCGUUCGCC
This 73-nucleotide transfer RNA is filed under the name Glaucocystis sp. BBH. RNAcentral's name for it is "tRNA-His". It matches the Rfam family "tRNA". Rfam says of the family: Transfer RNA (tRNA) molecules are approximately 80 nucleotides in length. Their secondary structure includes four short double-helical elements and three loops (D, anti-codon, and T loops). The record is from RNAcentral. Lineage: Eukaryota; Glaucocystophyceae; Glaucocystales; Glaucocystaceae.